Molecule: non-coding RNA, 1154 nt
Organism: Dermacentor andersoni
Lineage: Eukaryota; Metazoa; Arthropoda; Arachnida; Ixodida; Ixodidae
Source: RefSeq, a predicted model, not a curated record
GCUGGUUGCGCGCGUCAAGUUCGCCUGUUCAGCGACCAGUCUCUUUUGGAUGUCGUCUGUAUUUUGGGCUCUCGGCGUAUUACGUUCCUUCUACCGUUCAACACGGCACUGCUGCAAUAUUGGGCAACGGCAAGGACGUUGCGGUGGCUCAUAGUUCGAACAAAGCCACGGAUGGAGAACCGGGCCAAGUUGCGUUUCCCUGCAGACGAGGUGGCACGUAUGAAAAAAAUACGCUGAAUGGGGAGUCCUGGCUGGUCUGACAUGGGAGCAGACGUACAACUGCUACGGCCUCUGCUCGGACCACUUCAGAGAAAGGGACUACCCUGUUUCUGAAGGAAAGCCCUGUCUGUUCUGGUCGCCUACGCAGAUUGUUCGAGUGGAUGAGAACUGCUCAUGGGUGAAGUGGGCGUGUGCCGAUCCUCGGAAAAUCCUGCAGAGUGGUCCUGUGCCAUUGUGACACCAGAGAUCUGUCAGAAAAAGGCGAUGCUGGCCUUUCGUUCAUCACCGGGUCAAGCCUGGGAGGUACCACGGUGCCCUACUGCACGUGUCAGGCCAGCAAGCUAUUCUAUGAGCCUGGUGUCCUGAUGUCCUGGUGUCCUGGUGUCCUGAGUCCGUUCGCCCUGCGGACUUGGUGGGCAGCCCUUCUUGUUUCUUCGGCUGCUGAUCAGAAAAUCUCGCAUGCGUUACGGAAUCGGAGGUGGAGAACGUGUCCGUGGUUCUCGUGGACUGCCACAAGGGCUGCGGCUCCAUUCUGGGCUACAGCACGGCGGCGGGCAUCACAAGCACCGUGGCCCGGUGGCUGGCGCUGCUGGUCGAGACGCUGGCGGUCGCAUGCGCGGUGAAGCCGGAGCACGUCCAUUGCGUAGGCGCCCAGGCGGGAAAUAUCUUCAGCGAAGGACGUCCUCGUCGGGCGCAUUUCUGACAUUUGCAGAACAGCUUGCUUGCCGGAAGUGGCGAGGAUGUCCCCACCACGGACUUCGAACGACAGCCCCUCGGCCAGGAACGACUUGCUGCGUGGUCCGCCGCACAGCCAAUGACCCAGGCUGGAGUAGUCCUUCUGGAACGUCAGGUCUCGAACUUGCGUCAAAACGGCCACAUUUAUUGUCACGACGACGUGGCGAUUGCCACAAUUGCCCACAAUUCUGGCAAAGACG